UGGUCGUGUGUGACAUGAGGG
RNAcentral lists this unclassified non-coding RNA (21 nucleotides) under Chlamydomonas reinhardtii. Its description in RNAcentral is "small RNA Cre_3441". The record is from RNAcentral. Lineage: Eukaryota; Viridiplantae; Chlorophyta; Chlorophyceae; Chlamydomonadales; Chlamydomonadaceae.